GGACUACUGGGGUAUCUAAUCCCGUUCGCUACCCUGGCUUUCGCGCAUCAGCGUCAGUAAAGGCCCAAGAAGCCGCCUUCGCCACCGGUGUUCCGACUGAUAUCUACGCAUUUCACCGCUACACCAGCCAUUCCACUUCUCUCUACCUCACUCAAGACUAUCAGUAUGAGAGGCAGUCCCCGGGUUGAGCCCUGGAAUUUCACCUCUCACUUAAUAACCCGCCUACGCGCGCUUUACGCCCAGUAACUUCGGACAACGCUCGCUCCCUACGUAUUACCGCGGCUGCUGGCAC
This 292-nucleotide ribosomal RNA is filed under the name uncultured bacterium. Its description in RNAcentral is "partial 16S ribosomal RNA". The record is from RNAcentral.